This 455-nucleotide long non-coding RNA is filed under the name Capsicum annuum. RNAcentral describes it as "long non-coding RNA (CANN_LNC000439)". The record is from RNAcentral. Lineage: Eukaryota; Viridiplantae; Streptophyta; Magnoliopsida; Solanales; Solanaceae.
ACCAGGUUCUUGCAAUAAUUUCAGGGAACUGGUGGUGUUGCAUGACUGUGGAGAAUAACUUGAAUGGAUUUGGUCUAUUACUCAAUGUAGGGUUACAGUGUAAUAGAAUUGGGGAGUGGCUAGAAAUUCCUGAUAAUGGAUAAUCAGCCGCUACUACUCCAUAUCUUUGCAAUCAGUGAUAAUUGGUCAUAGCCCAAUCUAUUUUGGAAUAUACUCUGUGAUUUUUCUCUUGCUUAUUCCAAAAGGAGUAAUAGCAGCCUCUAGAUCCUAAAGAAGUAAGUUACAGGGCAUCCAUAAAGUCCCUAAGUCUUGUGUUUCAAAAAAUUUAAUAGGAGAUCCUAAUCUAUCAUCAGGACUCAGUAUAACAUUAAAGUCUCCACUCAGGAUCCAAGGCUCCUGAAUGGUUACACUCAUUCCCCUCAAGGCAUUCCAUAAUGCAACUUUUCAGCAACUAU